CUAUGAGCAGAGCUCUGGCUUUUGGAAGCUGCACAGGUCAUCAGAAGCACACAGAAGAGUUAUUUCUACCAUCCCCUGUCCUCUCUGCUACCCAGGCAUGCCUGACAGCUCUUCAAUGCUUGCAUAAGAGCUCCUGGAAGAAGGCCAGGCCCUGGAGAGAGCCAGCAGGAGCAUGAGAUACUGCCGUGUGUCGGGACAGCCUGAAAAUGAAUGUCAUUUAUUCUCAGCUUUGAGAACUGAAUUCCAUGGGUUGUAAUUGAAUCUGCUGUCAGACCCAUGGGGCUCAGUUCUUCAGCUUGGAUAUUUCUGUCUUCACAUACACAGGAGAUCAAAGAAGCACUUGAUCAUUCUCUGCCUCUUCUGGUGAUAGCAGCGAGCAGGAGAGGAAGCAUCACUGAUGUGAAUCAUUUCAGCAGGGAGGGGUCACUGCAGAGGCCUGGCUCUCUCAGGAUAAAUUGCUGUGCAGUGAUUGAAUCUCUUCGGAUCUCACAGGCUCUGUGUUGCUACUCACUGUUUGAUUAGCUUGAUGCUUCCCUCUCGUUGUUAUCAAGCUGCCAACUGAGUCCCUGGCUGUUGUUGGUUGGAUGGUGGUCCCCAAGCCCUGCUGAGUGGUGCAGUUCUCCUGUGGACGGCUGUGGUGAGCUCCUGUAGACCGUGGAAAGCUGGACCUCCCUUGGGCUGAGCACUAAAUCUGCCAGCUGAUAAUCCGCUGUUCCCUGCUCUCCUGGUACCACUGCUGUGCACUUACUGCCUCAUUUGCUUUGUCUUGUGCCAAAAACCCAGUUUUGACAGUAGCUGUGACCAUAAAGAUUAUUCUUUUGCACCAGCCAACCAGCCCACUUCUAUGAACACAGAUUUGCUUUCCUGAGGUUAGUGAUGUGCUCCCAAAGCUGGUUUAGGGAGUUUCCAGUGUAAUCACUGAUGGCAAUGUAAGUGCUGAUUGAAGGCUUGGUAGCACAAACAUCCCUCUGUAGGGGAAUUCGUUCAAGUCACAGAUUGAUGUUUUUUCUUGGAGGACUUAUGUUAAAAUUUUUCAUUCAGGGAUCAGGAAAAGUAAUUGUCGUCUUUAAGCAUGUAAAGAGUUACAAUUAGCAAUGAGCUUUCCACCUCUUUUCUGCAAUAAUAACACCUAAAUUACAUUUUUCCAGCUCAGUAAAGGGGAUCAUAACUGAUCUUAUCCCUCUGUUACAAAGCUCUUAAAAGCACAGAAAUGCUGAAAUCCCACAGGUGUAGGAAGAGAGUGUUCAGCUAAAGUAGCUUAAGUAGCUUAAAACUGCUGUGUGCCUUUUCAUUCUGAAUAUAUAUUUACACACACAAAAAAACCCCAGAUAUUAAUCACUGUUGCCUGUGGAUACAGAUGUACCUUCAUACUGAUAUAUUUUUCAUAUAAAUUUUUAUCCUAGGGGUUGAAGACUUUCAAUUGCAGCUGUCUGAGAUGUAUUGUGCUCACCAGUUUAGAAAUUACAGUUCUUGAAAGAGCUCACUGGUUCCACCAGCUCCUGCUGUGGGAAUAUCCAUUAAACAGGAUGGAGAAACUGAACAAAGGACGAUAUUGAAAUUUUUACUUUUUAUUUUCCUCUAUCAUCCCUGUCAGAAAGAGGAAAUGAAAUUUGAGGUCAGAGUUGGUAAAAUCUUCAAAAGAAGAGAGAUCAAUGGAACAAUUUACAGGAUGUCUGAUGCAGGCAGUGUGGUGGAUAUUAAAUGCUGCAAAGCUUCAUCCUCUUCCUUCACUGUGCAGCCCAGCCUCUGGGCAGUGAUGCAGCACAGAGGUGAUGUGUGCAUGGUGGUAGCAAGGCCAUGCAUGAAAUCCAGGAGUACAGAAGUCUUUGGAGUCCUAUCUAAGUGACAAAACAAAAAUGUGGUGUAAGUAAUGCUAUUUUUUUUCUCAAAAGCCUACAGUAAGUCCUGAACUGAUAACAGCACUGUUGAUGUUGUCUCAAACUAAGCUAAAGCAGUUAAAAUGCAGGGGGGUGAAGGAGUCACUGUCAUGUAGGCAGGGAGCACAUGCAGGGCUGGUGUUACUCUGGUGAUGGCUGCUGCUUGUGAUCCUACUCGCUGGAGGGGCCAGGGGGUGUGUGUACCCCCCUGAGGGAGAGGUUCUUCACCCCCUAAAACCUCACAGGUCACCAUGCCUUUGGCAAACUGCAAAUGGGAUGUCACUACCAAAAAUCUGGUGGCCACGUGUGGUGCUGAACCUUCCCAAGCGCAUGGAGCUGGCUGUGCCCAGGGGAGAGUCAGGAAACUUCUGUCUGGCUUUGGGCUCCAGCUCUCCAUGAAUGAUGGCUUUUCAUGCAGGAAAACUGCCUCACUGCCCAUGUGUAACGAAAAAAUUUGAUGGUAUUUGUGUCCUGAGCAAGUAUAUGUUCUGAUCAUCGCAUUCAUGUGGAAAAGGGUGAAGGAAAAAGCUGGUCCCAGAGUUCAUUAUUCUCAAGCCUUUUUCCUCUCACAGCUGCCUGGAUGUGUCUGUGCUCUACAGCUGCUGCUCAGUGAGAGAACAGAACACAAUGAAUAGGUACAGAGGUGUUUUGAAAGCAGAUGCAAGGCAGUGCCCAGCCAUUCAGCGUGCUCCUGCUCAGGCCCAGGCUGCCUUUGAGGCUUGCUUGCCCUUCAUGACAAAGCAUCUUCUUUUGGGAUAUUCUUGAUAUAUUUAAACCAGCUAGGAUUUCAAGUCCCAGGCUGUCCUACUGGCACUGCUGUGCCUUUCCAGCAGAACAAAAAGUGUUUUUAGUGUGCAGUUUCAAAGCUGUGUAACGUCUAUCUCUCAUUCUGCUGCCUCACAAUAUACCUGUUUAUUCUGCCUCACUCCAGCAGGUGAGUGAUGCCCAGCCUGCAUCUCACACCCCCAGCCUCCCAUGAAGGGAUGCAGGGUCACAGUGCUGAAGCUAAAAUGACUCUGUGGCUCCUGUGCUGGGGUUCUGUCUGAUGUACAACACCUCAGGGUAUAUUAAUGGAUCUAAAUCUUUACUGAAUCUACCCGCUCCAUGCACAACCACCAGAAGUUGAAGCACCACAACUCUGAUGACUGCAUCUCUUCUGCAGGAUUUCUCUGUUGCUCCAAAUGUUUAAUUCCAAAGUGAAAUUCGGAUUUUUUCACUUUAUUUUUCAGUACAGAAGAAUUCAGGUGACUUCACCUGAAUUUUUUAGUGCUGAUAUAGGUUAAAACCUACUUUUUGGCACAAGUAAAGCUUUUCCUAAAA
Molecule: long non-coding RNA, 3197 nt
Organism: Taeniopygia guttata (zebra finch)
Lineage: Eukaryota; Metazoa; Chordata; Aves; Passeriformes; Estrildidae
Source: Ensembl